UGCGAGGCUGACCGUCAGCUGAUGUAGAUAAAAGAAGGGUUAGAAACAUAGUGAUGAGCAUUAAAGAGGAUCACUGUUGUAACCAAAGAGAAUUAUUGUAGUAAAAGUCUUAUGUUCUAAAUGGAGAGGAGCCUAGAGAUUCGUAGCCAGGUUGGAGCGGAAAACGAGGAGAGUGACCAAGAUGGAUGCCAGGUCACUUCAACGUUCGCUGGGAGGUUCUUUUGUGUCUUAAGGAGGAUGUGAAAGUUGCAUACCUUAGCGUCGAGGAUUCGUGUAUGUAGAUUUCAAGUAGCGUAUGGUGGAGUGCCAAGUUUAGGCUAUAAAAUCUUUCAGAUCCUC
RNAcentral lists this long non-coding RNA (339 nucleotides) under Phoenix dactylifera (date palm). RNAcentral's name for it is "long non-coding RNA (PDAC_LNC001884)". The record is from RNAcentral. Lineage: Eukaryota; Viridiplantae; Streptophyta; Magnoliopsida; Arecales; Arecaceae.